AUGCGACUCUUCGGAGGCGUUACACAGGUGCUGCAUGGCCGUCGUCAGCUCGUGUCGUGAGAUGUUUGGUUAAGUCCAGCAACGAGCGCAACCCCUGUUGCCAGUUACCAGCACGUGAAGGUGGGGACUCUGGCGAGACUGCCCAGAUCAACUGGGAGGAAGGUGGGGACGACGUCAGGUCAGUAUGGCCCUUAUGCCCAGGGCUGCACACGUACUACAAUGCCCAGUACAGAGGGGGCCGAAGCCGCGAGGCGGAGGAAAUCCUGAAAACUGGGCCCAGUUCGGACUGUAGGCUGCAACCCGCCUACACGAAGCCGGAAUCGCUAGUAAUGGCGCAUCAGCUACGGCGCCGUGAAUACGUUCCCGGGUCUGUAACCACACCGA
Molecule: ribosomal RNA, 384 nt
Filed under: uncultured bacterium
Lineage: Bacteria
Description: bacterial SSU rRNA
Rfam family: Bacterial small subunit ribosomal RNA
Source: RNAcentral